UACGUAGGGUGCAAGCGUUAAUCGGAAUUACUGGGCGUAAAGCGUGCGCAGGCGGUUUUGUAAGUCUGACGUGAAAUCCCCGGGCUCAACCUGGGAAUUGCGUUGGAGACUGCAAGGCUGGAGUCUGGCAGAGGGGGAUAGAAUUCCACGUGUAGCAGUGAAAUGCGUAGAGAUGUGGAGGAACACCGAUGGCGAAGGCAGCCCCCUGGGUCAAGACUGACGCUCAUGCACGAAAGCGUGGGGAGCAAACAGG
RNAcentral lists this ribosomal RNA (253 nucleotides) under uncultured bacterium. Its description in RNAcentral is "partial 16S ribosomal RNA". It matches the Rfam family "Bacterial small subunit ribosomal RNA", at positions 524 to 776 of the family's 1533-position model. The record is from RNAcentral.